RNAcentral lists this ribosomal RNA (602 nucleotides) under Hepatozoon canis. Its description in RNAcentral is "SSU rRNA". It matches the Rfam family "Eukaryotic small subunit ribosomal RNA", at positions 221 to 811 of the family's 1831-position model. The record is from RNAcentral. Lineage: Eukaryota; Apicomplexa; Hepatozoidae.
GCCAAUGCAUGCUUUUACAGUAUGAAAAUUGGUGAUUUAUAAUAACUUAGCAAAUCGCAAAGUGAAAACAGGCGAUAAAUCAUUCAAGUUUCUGACCUAUCAGCUUUCGACGGUAUGGUAUUGGCUUACCGUGGCAGUGACGGUUAACGGGGGAUUAGGGUUCGAUUCCGGAGAGGGAGCCUGAGAAACGGCUACCACAUCUAAGGAAGGCAGCAGGCGCGCAAAUUACCCAAUUCUAACAGUUUGAGAGAGGUAGUAACAAGAAAUAACAAUACAAGGCAGUUAAAAUGCUUUGUAAUUGGAAUGAUAGAAAUUUAAACCCUUUUUAAAGUAUCAAUUGGAGGGCAAGUCUGGUGCCAGCAGCCGCGGUAAUUCCAGCUCCAAUAGCGUAUAUUAAAAUUGUUGCAGUUAAAAAGCUCGUAGUUGAAGUUCUGCUAAAAGUAACCGGUCUGCUUUGAAUAAAAGUGGUAUCUUGGUAUGUAUUUAGCAAUGAUGUCCUUUGAAGUGUUUUUUACUUUAUUGUAAUAAAGCAUAUUCAGGACUUUUACUUUGAGAAAAUUAGAGUGUUUCUAGCAGGCCAACGCUUUGAAUACUGCAGCAUG